GAUGAACGCUGGCGGCGUGCCUAAUACAUGCAAGUCGAGCGAACAGACGAGGAGCUUGCUCCUCUGACGUUAGCGGCGGACGGGUGAGUAACACGUGGAUAACCUACCUAUAAGACUGGGAUAACUUCGGGAAACCGGAGCUAAUACCGGAUAAUAUAUUGAACCGCAUGGUUCAAUAGUGAAAGACGGUUUUGCUGUCACUUAUAGAUGGAUCCGCGCCGCAUUAGCUAGUUGGUAAGUUAACGGCUUACCAAGGCGACGAUGCGUAGCCGACCUGAGAGGGUGGACGGACACACUGGAACAGAGACAGGGUCCAGACUCCUAGGGGAGGCAGCAGUAGAGAAUCAUCCGCGAUGGGCGAGAGGCUGACAGUGCAACGCCGCGUGAGUGAUGAAGGUCUUCUGAUCGUAAAGCUCUGUUAUUAGGGAAGAACAAAUGUGUAAGUAACUAUGAACAUCUUGACGGUACCUGGUGAGAAAGCCACGGCUAACUACGUG
Molecule: ribosomal RNA, 497 nt
Filed under: uncultured bacterium
Lineage: Bacteria
Description: partial 16S ribosomal RNA
Rfam family: Bacterial small subunit ribosomal RNA
Source: RNAcentral